This 2881-nucleotide ribosomal RNA is filed under the name Ganoderma sinense. RNAcentral describes it as "large subunit ribosomal RNA". It matches the Rfam family "Bacterial large subunit ribosomal RNA". Lineage: Eukaryota; Fungi; Basidiomycota; Agaricomycetes; Polyporales; Polyporaceae. The record is from RNAcentral.
UAAAAGUAUCGAUGACAAUAUAGUAAUAACAUCAAACAGUAAUUCAAAGGGGUUAUUAAGGAAAAACUAGCAAAUUUAUAAAAAAGGAGGGCACAAGUCCAAAAGCCACAAUUUACCGAAAGGUGGUCAAGUUUCAUUAGAUUUAUUUAAUGUUGACAAAGAAUGUAGGCGAUCCUAAGGGAAACCUUUAUAUUUAAACUUCCCGAAGUAAAACAUUUCAUUAGGGAAAGGAAAGGAAAUCAACCGAGACUCCGAAAGUAAUGGCGAGUGAAAUCGGACCAGCCUUUAUUUUUAAAAAUAAAUUUAACAAAAAUACACACCAGAAACCAAAGAAGGUAAAAUAGUCCUGUAUGUUAAAUCUUUUUAAAUUAAUGUUUAAAAAAAUAUUAUUAAAUUAAAAUUUAUUUAAAUAAUGAGUACGACGAGAGUGAACUUGUCGGAAUAUAGGGGAACCAUCCUCUAAGGCUAAGUAUUUAUAAAUUUAGCGAUAGUGAAAAGUACCGUGAGGGAAAGUUUGAAAUAGUUAUGUAAUAUUAGACAUAAAUGAAAUAGUUGAAUUAGUAACUCUAUAAGCAGUCGAAAUUUAUAAUAAUAAAUGACGGCGUACCUUUUGCAUAAUGGGUCAGCAAGUUAAUAGGAGUAGCAAGGUUAAAAGCCUUAGUGAAAGCGACCACACUAACUAGCUAAAAGUAUUUUUAAUUUCAUAGAUAUUAAAAAUAGGGUAUCCUUCAUAGUCAUAAGGCUAAGAAGUUAAAUAUUUUCUAGGAGUAUAGUGAUGGGUAAGUUACUUCUAUUAGACCCGAAGCUAGGUGAUCUUCCUAAGACCAGAUUAUAAUGGAUCGAACGGGUGAAUGUAGCAAAAUUCUCCGAAGAGUUUUAGGAAGCGGUGAAAUGCCAAUCUGACCUAGUGAUAGCUGGUUUUCUACGAAACAUAUGUAAGUAUGACAUCUAAACAAAAUUUAUGGUGGUACAGCACUGAGUUCCCAACUAUUUCUUUUAAAAAGAAAAGUUUAGGUUGCGGGGACGUCGAAAAUCUUACCAAUGGAAGAGAAUCUCGGAAUGACAUAAAUUGAUGUUAGAUAUUCAGACUGCUCAUGCGAAGUUGGGUAGUCAAGACGGAAACAGCCGAGAACACGAAACAAGGUCCCAAAUGAUUUUUAAGUGAAAUGAAGGAAGUAAUAUAUUGAAUGCAGCUGUAAAGUGAGCCUGGUAGUCGCUAUCUUUUAAUAAACGUAAUGUAACAACGUAGCAGCCUUAAUACAAUAGAAUAUUACGCCAAAAAUUUAACGGGUCUCAAAAAAUCAACCGAUAUCGUGUUUAUUUUGAAUAAUAAAAAUUUAAUAUUCAAUAUACAGGUAGUAGAACAUUCAGUAUACUGAUGAUAAAACAGUGUUUCAUUGUUUUUAGGUCACUGAAGAGAGAAUGCUGACAUGAGUAACGUAAAAAGAAGUUAUAAUACUUCUCGCCGAAUACGAAAGGGUUGUAAGGAAAGGUUAAACCACCUUAUGUUAAUGCGGCCUCUAAGGAACAAAACCAAAGUUUUGUCUGAUGAGUAUGAAUUAGAAAGUCCAAUUUUAAAUUAAUUUAUAAAAAGGACCAGGAAAAUAAUAUGUUCAUAACUACCGUACCCUAAACCGACACAGGUUCGUAAGUAGAGUAUACUAAGGCGUAGAGCUAAAAGUUGUUAAGGAACUCGGCAAGUUCUCCUCAUAAGUUUGACGAUAAGAGGAACCCUUUAAAGGGUGGCACAAAAUCGGAGGCCCCGACUGUUUACUAAAAACACAAUUCAGAGCAAUGAUGAAAAAUCAUAGUAUUCUGGAUGAAAUUUGCCCAAUGCCAUUAACAUAAAAGAGGUUAUGGGUAACUGUAACUGAUUGAAAGUCUGGUUAAUAGCGGUCUUAACUAUGAGGAUCCAAAGGUAGCAAAAUAAAUUGGCCAUUAAAUGUGGUCUGGUAUCAAUAGUGUAACGAUGGUCUCACUGUCUCUACAACUUGCUCAGUGAAAUUGAAUUACCCGUGCAGAUGCGGGUUGCCUCCAGGUGGACGGGAAAGACCCUAUGCAGCUUUACUGUAGUUAGCUAUCAUAUUGAUCUACAACAACCUUAGUUAAUAGUAAUUAGGGAUGUCGAUGGACGGAAGAUGGAAUACCUUAUGACUUUGGUUGGGUUAAUAUUUACCUUUUUAAGUCAUGUAUCAUAUAUGACUCAAAUUUUUCUUUUGUUUAUUAUAUUCGUAUUCUGUUAUAUAGUGUUAUAUGGUAUGGAGCUUAUAAGGGAUAGGUGGCUAAUUGGCAGUUUGACUGGGGCGGUCGUCUUUGAUAAAGUAGCAAAGUACAUCCAAAGAUAUUUAUUUAUUAUAAGCAAUCUUUUUUUAAAGAUACUAACUAAAAAUCAUAGUAUCUGUAUAAACUAUGGAGAGUAUAAAUUAUUAUAUUUUUAUUAACUUAAGGUAUAGCUAGAAAAUUGAAUGGAAAUCAAUCAACCAAUGUGAAAGGUUGUAAUCGGCGUAAUGGCGGAAAGCAUGCCUAACUGAAAGACUUAGAAGUCGACCAGAUACGUAAGUAGGGCAUAGUGACCCUUCGCUAUAUUAUGGAAUAGACGGGGAUCAAUCGAUAAAAGUUACGCUAGGGAUAACAGGCUGAUAGCUGGUGAGAGUACACAUUGUCCCGGCUGUUUGGCACCUCGAUGUCGACUCAACCUAUCCUCCGGGGGUAGAAGCUUGGAAGGGUUCGGCUGUUCGCCGAUUAAAAGGUUACGCGAGUUGGGUUUAAUACGACGUGAGUCAGUAUGGUCCCUAUCUUCUGGAGGGAUAAAUAGUAAAAGGGGGCAGACCUUCUAGUACGAAAGGAUCAAUAGGCUGUGUUUCUCUAGUGUACCAAUUGU